CGCUUCUCUCUUAGCAACUGU
RNAcentral lists this small nuclear RNA (21 nucleotides) under Arabidopsis thaliana (thale cress). Its description in RNAcentral is "snRNA_07150". Lineage: Eukaryota; Viridiplantae; Streptophyta; Magnoliopsida; Brassicales; Brassicaceae. The record is from RNAcentral.